GCGGCAGCGUGACGGGCGCACGCCCUCGCCCGGCCCGUCGGCGGAGCCGACCUGGGGAGAGGGGAGUUACGCGG
This 74-nucleotide transfer RNA is filed under the name Streptomyces sp. PVA_94-07. The record is from RNAcentral. Lineage: Bacteria; Bacillati; Actinomycetota; Actinomycetes; Kitasatosporales; Streptomycetaceae.